Molecule: small nucleolar RNA, 91 nt
Filed under: Haliotis rufescens (red abalone)
Lineage: Eukaryota; Metazoa; Mollusca; Gastropoda; Lepetellida; Haliotidae
Description: small nucleolar SNORD12/SNORD106
Rfam family: Small nucleolar SNORD12/SNORD106
About the family: This family belong to the C/D class of snoRNA which contain the C (UGAUGA) and D (CUGA) box motifs. This family includes the human ortholog of mouse snoRNA HBII-99 and human snoRNA U106. In humans both HB11-99 and U106 snoRNAs share the same host gene.
Source: RNAcentral
AUUGUUGCCUAUGAUGUAUACUUUUUUCCCCGGCUUAUCGAUAAAUGCUGAGACACCAUGCAUUUCAUGCCAGUUUAGCUGAGGCAACAUU